CUACGGGAUGCAGCAGUGGGGAAUAUUGCACAAUGGACGAAAGUCUGAUGCAGCAACGCCGCGUGGAGGAUGACACAUUUCGGUGCGUAAACUCCUUUUAUAUCCCAAGAUAAUGACGGUACUAUAUGAAUAAGCGCCGGCUAACUCCGUGCCAGCAGCCGCGGUAAUACGGAGGGCGCAAGCGCUACUCGGAAUCACUGGGCGUAAAGAGCGUGUAGGCGGAUUAAAAAGUCAGAAGUGAAAUCCUAUAGCUUAACUAUAGAACUGCUUCUGAAACUCUUAAUCUAGAAUAUGGGAGAGGUAGAUGGAAUUUCUGGUGUAGGGGUAAAAUCCGUAGAGAUCAGAAGGAAUACCGAUUGCGAAGGCGAUCUACUAGAACAUUAUUGACGCUGAGACGCGAAAGCGUGGGGGGCAAACAGGAUUAGAUACCCUUGUAGUC
Molecule: ribosomal RNA, 439 nt
Filed under: uncultured bacterium
Lineage: Bacteria
Description: partial 16S ribosomal RNA
Rfam family: Bacterial small subunit ribosomal RNA
Source: RNAcentral